CAGCUAAGCUCCCUGCUUAAAGGAGCACUUCUAUACCUAAAUGUGGACUAAAACUGAACUUCACAGAAAAUGGAGGCGUUUCUCACAUAGAUCAGGCUGGAGAAGUAUCUCUCUUGCAGAUUAUGCAGGACAGACGCUUCGUUGAGGAACGUGAGAGCAGCCAUAUCCUCCACCUUGCUGAACUUGGCGGGUUCGAAUCCCUGCCUCUCUGAUGGGACCCACACCAUCUUCUUGGCCGCCCAGUCAGCCUGGGCCACCCCACUGUUACGGAAGUCGUUUUCCAGGAAGAGCCUUGUUUCCAUCCUAAAUUUGGGGACCCUUCCUCUACAAAGAGCUUCUUGUCCUGAAGACGGACACCAAC
Long non-coding RNA from Fundulus heteroclitus (mummichog), 361 nucleotides. RefSeq lists it as uncharacterized. NCBI's taxonomy places the organism in Eukaryota, Metazoa, Chordata, Actinopteri, Cyprinodontiformes, Fundulidae. The record is from RefSeq and is a predicted model, not a curated record. The transcript has 4 exons.